RNAcentral lists this unclassified non-coding RNA (2505 nucleotides) under Hevea brasiliensis (rubber tree). Lineage: Eukaryota; Viridiplantae; Streptophyta; Magnoliopsida; Malpighiales; Euphorbiaceae. The record is from RNAcentral.
AUUGCUGUUUUAAAUAUAUAAAAAAUUAUUUUAAACUUUACUUAUUCUGUUUGAAAAGUGAUAAUAUUUUCUCAAAAUCAAAGAGUUUCGUAUUGAUUAUUCAAUUAACAAGAUAGACAAAAUAGAUAUACAAAAUAAAAUCACUCACCAAUAAAUAAGAAAAUAGAUUCUAGAGUCACGUAAUAUAAGAAUUAGAAAACUAAAUCUAACAAUCAAAUAAAAACGGAAAAAUGAUAAUUACUAAUAAAAACUCAUACUUAUGAUAAGUUUGAACUAUAUACAUACCCACAAAGCAAGAGUAGAAAGAGGUUAUUAAAAUGUAAUCCCAGACUUAUCAAAAUUUGAAAGGGGCUAUGGUGUACCUAUAAUGUGAAAGAAGAUGAAAGAUUAGUAUAUAUGAGAUACUAAAGAUUUUUUAUCGAAGAGAAAUAUUGAAGAUAAGUGACGAAGAACUUUAUAAAUAAAAAGAAUAGAGUAUAAUUAAAAUUUUAUAAAUUAUAUAAAUAUAAAAUUAAAAAAUAUAAAAAUUUUAAAUUACUUAAAAUUACAAAUUUAAUAAUUUAAAAACAUGUGGUAAAAUAAUCAUUUUGCAAUUCGAAACCACCGUCGUAACAUUAACAAUCUUCACAAAUAAAUUUCUGGUAAAAAAAAAAUCUUCACAAAUAAAUAGUAUUAUCAUUCCAUACACUUCAAACAAGGGGUUAGUUUAUGGGAUCAAACGCAUUGAAGGCAGGUCAUGGCCUGGCUCCUAUUCAAGGUCAAUCAGCCCUUCAACUUUUCAACUUGCGGAAAUCUCGAUAACCCGGUAAUUGCAGUUAACCGCCAAGGAUUUUUGUUUAUUUGUUUAUUUUUUUAAAGUGCGGAGAUUUCUUGCUAGGAAUUUGGAAAAGAAGAGAAGAAAAAGGUUGGAUUUUUGGUGAUUGAGAGAUUUGAUUUUCUUCUCAACUUUGAAUUUCACUCAGCCAAAUUUUUUAUUUUGAAUGGUAAUUGUUAUCUUUCCUACAAUUCUUUUUCUCACUGUUGGCCUCCUGGGGUCCUGGCCUUCUUUUAUUUUAUUUUUUUCUUUUAGGUUAAUUUAUCACAGACAGCAAAUGCUCCACUGCCUUAUUGAUGACAGUGGUAGCAACUCCUUCCCUUUUUAUACUGUCUAUAUUAGGCUUGUUUUUACAUUAGGCAAUUCAAUGCUGUCAAAACCAUGCGAUUAGGAAGAAGAGUAGCAAAUAAAAUUUGUCUUGUCUUACCAUUCAAUGAAAUUAUACUAGGCUGUGACUUUAGCAAGGGAAGAGUAUGAGGUGUUGAUGUCAGCCCACGUUCGUGCACUAUCCCAUAAUAGCAGUAAUUUUGAAAAGUUCUCUAAUGAAUCUUUAUUCAGUUAUUAGAUGUUUUUUCUGUUACUUGAUUUAAGUUUUUGAAUUCCAGAUUUGUUUGCAAAAUGCUUUCCCUUUCUUUAUUAUGUCUCUGGAAUUUUAGGUAAUAACUCUAUCUUGAAAAACCUGUAAAAUAAUAAACAUGUAUGGAGAAAUCUUAUUCUAGUUGAGUUUGGACUGGAAUCUUUGUAGUUAGAGAAAGUCAAUGCAGAGACUGGGACUGUGAGAUUCAGAAUUAUUGUGUAAUAAAUACUCCAGGAGUGAUUCGUUGAAACCUAAAUGUUUUUAUUUCACAUAAGAUUAAAGCAUAAACUGCUAUGAAUUCCAUUGAAACAUUAUCACUUUGGUUUCACUUCAUUUCAUAAACUGAGUAAAUGAGUCAUAUAUCAUGUCUGCAUUUCCAAAUUGGUGCAUAUCGAGAUUUAAAUUGAAAGCUACAAGUGGUUUGAGCAGAAAGGCCAAGAGAUAAUUAAUUCAUUUAAGGUGGAGCAUUGGAUUCAUAUUUAACAUUACAAUGUAUAGUGCAUCCUCCUUUCCUUUUUGAAGAUUUUAUUAAUUUUAACAAAUCAUGUCUCGCCUUUUGAAGGCACCUUGGAUUCAUGCUGCAAGUAAAGUUCCAGAGGAAACUACGAUCAAAGCAAUGGAGGAAUUUUAUAGGGAAAUCUAUGCAGUGAAUGGCAUCACUGAAAUUAAUUUUCCGGAACAUUAUCCUGUUUCAAGACCUUUAGAUAUGGUUUUGGUAUCUUUCAAUACUUUAUUGUUGUUUGGUUGAUUUAUUUAUUUUGGCUUGCUGAUGUCAACUGGAUUAUUCUUUGUUUCUGUGGGUACUGCAUGACCGGCUUCUUGCUGUAUUCAUUAUUUUAUUUUCCUUCUAUCCAAUAAGUGUUGGGCCUUUUUACCACAUUUAGUAUACGUACCAAACUUGGAAUUUACUCAGAGUUGCAGGGUUAAUUACUUAAUUUAUGUUUACUUUUAAAAUCAUGCAUUAGGUCUACCACCAUCAGUGUUCAUCUUGUGUCCUAGAUUUGUGCAGCUUUUUACUAAUGAAGGGAUUAAUUUGUAGAAUAGGUUGGUGGAAAAAUUAGAAGUGGUUAUAAUGGUGCUUCCACCAUGUCCAAAUACGCUACAUUGAUUUUCU